UACAGAGGUCUCAAGCGUUGUUCGGAUUCAUUGGGCGUAAAGGGUGCGUAGGUGGCAUGGUAAGUUGAAGGUGAAAUCUCGGAGCUCAACUCCGAAACUGCCUUCAAUACUGCUGUGCUUGAGAGCUGUAGAGGAGAAUGGAAUUCACGGUGUAGCAGUGAAAUGCGUAGAUAUCGUGAGGAAGACCAGUGGCGAAGGCGGGUCUCUGGACAGUUCCUGACACUGAGGCACGAAGGCCAGGGGAGCAAACGGG
Molecule: ribosomal RNA, 253 nt
Filed under: uncultured bacterium
Lineage: Bacteria
Description: partial 16S ribosomal RNA
Rfam family: Bacterial small subunit ribosomal RNA
Source: RNAcentral